Molecule: long non-coding RNA, 766 nt
Organism: Dalotia coriaria
Lineage: Eukaryota; Metazoa; Arthropoda; Insecta; Coleoptera; Staphylinidae
Exons: 3
Source: RefSeq, a predicted model, not a curated record
CGAGUUUCGUUGAUUGUACAACCUCAAAGUGCACAACAACUAUAAUGAAGCAUAUAAAUAUAUUUUUCCUAAUUAUAUUAAUAAUUUUAAUUAAAAUUGUAAAAACGCAACACAUUUGUAAUGUUUGCGACGACGCAUACAAUUGUAUCGGUUCUGAAGAUAAAACUAAUCCAUAUAGAGUAGAGCUUUGUGAGGAGCAUUGUUGUCGUCAACCAUACUCAGAAGACAGUUUCUGGUACCUGGAUGAAUUUAAUUUUAAUAAGAGAACACGCAGUGACGAAAGCACUACUUAAUUGCGGCGUGUGGUGUGAAACAAUUUUACUUAUUUAGAUAUUUAGAACAUAUCAUUGCAGCGCGCGCGAACAACGAUAUAAUUUACAAUGACCAAUGUCGUUAUUCCCCAACAGCUCGUUAUUUUGCAAGCGAAUAAUGUUAAUAAUGCACAUAUUUAAAGCUUUCGCAAUUCGGCGCAAUGCCGCCGCAAAAAGCGCUUGCAAAUUAAAAUUAACUAAGUACGAAGCUAAAUGCUUCUUUGCGCACCGAGAUAAAAUAGUUUCGCGCUGCGCACGUAAACAAACAGCGGCAAAAAUGUAAUUCACGGCGUGUUUUGCGUUUCGUGUCGACCUGCAAUAUAUUUUCAAGAAAAGAGUUUAGAAUUUACUUAAGAAAUACAAAUGCUAAGUCAGAAAGAAAAGAAAGUUAUGUAACACAUGUAAAUAUAUCUCUUAUUUGAUUACAAAUAAAAUGUCUAUAGUAGUGCUCCAAA